GGUUAAGGGACAAUCUUUAAUGUUUCCAGAAUUUUGCAGAUCCUGCCUGUCCCCUUCUCCCACCAGCAGCCUCUCCCCAGCCCCAGGCAGGGGCCUCUCUCUCCUGUGCACGAUCCCGGGUCUGCGGGAGCUCGGCUGCAGUUUCCUCCCUUGCCAGUAGGUGGCGACGGAAGCCCAGCCGGGCUGAGAACGCUGCUCCUGCAGGUCCGUGCGGUUCCCUGCAGGGGGCGCUGGCGGUCCUUGGCCAAGGGCACGGGCCGGGGUGGGGGGUGGGGGGCGACGAGGGAAAGAAAAGGGGGGAGGAGCCGCGGCCAGCGUGGGAAGGAAGGGGGCCAGAGGCCGGGACGGAGGCCGAACCCCGAGAGGGGAGCAGGGAAGAGCCCGGGGGUUUUGAGGAGAAAAGGAGGGAGCUGGAGGGGAGAGGGGAGGAGGGAGCGGAGGGGCGGAGGCCGCGGGCAGAGAGCCGGCGUGUGAACCGGGCGGGUUCCGAGACCCCCGGCGGAGGAAGGGCCGGAGAGGAGGGAAGGAUGCCGAGAAGGCGGCGAGGGCGGGUGGGCGGCUGAGCGGGGCGAGAGGAGGGGCGGGGAGACCGGGAGCUGGGGGUAGGGGUUGGGGGUGCCGCCUCCCGGGUGAGCACGCGCCCUUCCAAGUCGCGGGACCGUGUCCCCGUUUAAUCAGGAGCUGCAGGCGGACGCCAACGUGCAGCCGAGCUCCCAGGCCCUAAACUGCGAAACAGACAUCACAGGACCGUCUGUGCCAAGGCAGGGGGCCUCCCGAGCUGGGCCGGGGGACGGGAAUAGGGGGCUGCAAACCCCAGGUGGGGGGUGGGAGGAGAGACAGAGGCAGUGGCCAGGGAGGGGCAGAGGGGAUGGAUGAGGAGGAGGAGUAAAAGAACUCACUGAGAAGGAGUUCCCGUCGUGGCUCAGUGGUUAACAAAUCCGACUAGGAACCAUGAGGCUACGGGUUCGAUCCCUGGUUAAGGAUCCCUGGUUAAGGAUCCGCCACUGCCCUGAGCUGUGGGGUAGGUCGCAGACGCGGCUCGGAUCCAGCGUUGCUGUGGCUGUGGUGUAGGCCGGCGGCUAUUACAGCUCCGAUUCGACCCUGGGAACCUCCAUAUGCCGCGGGUGCCGCCCUGGAAAAGGCAAAAAAGACACACACACAAAAAGAGGAGGGAGCGCGAGGAUACGAAGGGAAAGCAGAUGGAGUCAAGAGGAGAGGCGACGGGAGGAACAAAGCGAGGGGAAGGGGACCCCGAGAGCACAGGACCCUUCGCGCCCUCCGGAAGGGCCUGUCCCCCACUCCCCGGGGCAUCACUUGGGGGACAAGUGGGUGGGAGCAAGGAGAGGGAGAGCAGAAAGGCUUCCAGAGAGACCCCGAGCACAGGCGACGAGCAGGGGAAACAACGGGAAGCAGGGAGGGAGGAGUGCCUGAGAGAGAGGGGCGGGGGGGAGAGGAGGAAGCUCUGAGAAGCAGGUCGGAAGGCUGGUGAGAGGAAGAGAGAAAAGCUGUGAGCAAGUGGGUUGGAGACAGACAGCUGGACGGGUGAUAGAGACGGACCCGCGGGGGGGACACGGAAUGACAAGACAGAUGCGCGCGAAGGAAACCAGCACACAGGGUGCGGGAGAUGCCUGUGGGAAGCCGGCGUGCAAGUCACAGAGCAGCCACAGGGCAGAGGAGGCAGAGCGGAGGAGAGAAUGCAGAGGGAGGGGGAGAGAAGGGAGAGAAACCAUGAGGCCAAGGAGGGAGGAGACCCUGGAGCCCGCCUGAGC
This 1769-nucleotide long non-coding RNA is filed under the name Sus scrofa (pig). Its description in RNAcentral is "lncRNA (ENSSSCG00000055583.1)". The record is from RNAcentral. Lineage: Eukaryota; Metazoa; Chordata; Mammalia; Artiodactyla; Suidae.